UACGGAGGGUGCGAGCGUUGUCCGGAAUCACUGGGCGUAAAGGGCGCGUAGGCGGCCUGAUAAGUAGGGGGUGAAAUCCUGCGGCUUAACCGCAGGGCUGCCUUCUAAACUGUCAGGCUAGAGCACAGUAGAGGCAGGUGGAAUUCCCGGUGUAGCGGUGGAAUGCGUAGAGAUCCGGAAGAACACCGGUGGCGAAGGCGGCCUGCUGGGCAGUUGCUGACACUGAGGCGCGACAGCGUGGGGAGCAAACAGG
RNAcentral lists this ribosomal RNA (253 nucleotides) under uncultured bacterium. RNAcentral describes it as "partial 16S ribosomal RNA". It matches the Rfam family "Bacterial small subunit ribosomal RNA", at positions 524 to 776 of the family's 1533-position model. The record is from RNAcentral.